This 89-nucleotide small RNA is filed under the name Flavobacterium tiangeerense. Its description in RNAcentral is "Flavo-1 RNA". The record is from RNAcentral. Lineage: Bacteria; Pseudomonadati; Bacteroidota; Flavobacteriia; Flavobacteriales; Flavobacteriaceae.
AUUUGGGUGAGGGAUGAUAGCGGAUAGCCCACAGACGCUGUAGUUUUUACGAAAGCGGCGAGGACUUGAAGCGAACAGCCCGACGCUAC